CCCUUAGAUGUCCUGGGCCGCACGCGCGCUACACUGACAUGUUCAACAAGCCUCCUAGUUCGACAGGAUUUGGGAAAUCUUUGAACGCAUGUCGUGAUAGGGAUAGAUCAUUGCAAUUAUUGAUCUUGAACGAGGAAUUCCUAGUAAACGCGAGUCAUCAGCUCGCAUUGAUUGCGUCCCUGCCCUUUGUACACACCGCCCGUCGCACCUACCGAUUGAAUGUUUCGGUGAAGAUUCCGGAUAGGACUUUUUUGAUUUAUUUCAAUUCUGUCUUAAAAGCUAUCUAAACCUCAACAUUUAGAGGAAGGUGAAGUCGUAACA
Molecule: ribosomal RNA, 321 nt
Filed under: uncultured eukaryote
Lineage: Eukaryota
Description: partial 18S ribosomal RNA
Rfam family: Eukaryotic small subunit ribosomal RNA
Source: RNAcentral